RNAcentral lists this ribosomal RNA (479 nucleotides) under uncultured bacterium. RNAcentral's name for it is "partial 16S ribosomal RNA". It matches the Rfam family "Bacterial small subunit ribosomal RNA", at positions 28 to 523 of the family's 1533-position model. The record is from RNAcentral.
GACGAACGCUGGCGGCGUGCUUAACACAUGCAAGUCGAGCGAUGAAGCACCUUCGGGUGUGAAUUAGCGGCGAACGGGUGAGGAACACGUGAGAAAUCUGCCUUCAACACUGGGAUAACUCCGGGAAACCGGGGCUAAUACCGGAUAUGAAACCUGCGGGCAUCCGCGGGUUUGGAAAGUUUUUCGGUUGAAGAUGAUCUCGCGGCCUAUCAGCUUGUUGGUGAGGUAAUGGCUCACCAAGGCGACGACGGGUAGCCGGCCUGAGAGGGCGACCGGCCACACUGGGACUGAGACACGGCCCAGACUCCUACGGGAGGCAGCAGUGGGGAAUAUUGGGCAAUGGAGGAAACUCUGACCCAGCGACGCCGCGUGCGGGAUGAAGGCCUUCGGGUUGUAAACCGCUUUCAGCAGGGAAGAAGCGAAAGUGACGGUAGGUGCAGAAGAAGGACCGGCCAACUACGUGCCAGCAGCCGCCGCGG